UGCAAGUCGAGGGGUAUUGGUUUUCGGACCAAGAGACCGGCGCACGGGUGCGUAACGCGUAUGCAAUCUACCUUUUGCAGAGGGAUAGCCCAGAGAAAUUUGGAUUAAUACCUCAUAGUAUAGCGACAUCGCAUGAUGAUGCUAUUAAAGUCACAACGGCAAAAGAUGAGCAUGCGUCCCAUUAGCUAGUUGGUAAGGUAACGGCUUACCAAGGCAACGAUGGGUAGGGGUCCUGAGAGGGAGAUCCCCCACACUGGUACUGAGACACGGACCAGACUCCUACGGGAGGCAGCAGUGAGGAAUAUUGGACAAUGGGCGCAAGCCUGAUCCAGCCAUGCCGCGUGCAGGAUGACGGUCCUAUGGAUUGUAAACUGCUUUUAUACGAGAAGAAACACUCCAACGUGUUGGAGCUUGACGGUAUCGUAAGAAUAAGGAUCGGCUAACUCCGUGCCAGCAGCCGCGGUAAUACGGAGGAUCCAAGCGUUAUCCGGAAUCAUUGGGUUUAAAGGGUCCGUAGGCGGUUUGGUAAGUCAGUGGUGAAAGCCCAUCGCUCAACGGUGGAACGGCCAUUGAUACUGCCAGACUUGAAUUACUGGGAAGUAACUAGAAUAUGUAGUGUAGCGGUGAAAUGCUUAGAGAUUACAUGAAAUACCAAUUGCGAAGGCAGGUUACUACCAGUGGAUUGACGCUGAUGGACGAAAGCGUGGGUAGCGAACAGGAUUAGAUACCCUGGUAGUCCACGCCGUAAACGAUGGAUACUAGCUGUUGGGAGUAAUCUCAGUGGCUAAGCGAAAGUGAUAAGUAUCCCACCUGGGGAGUACGAACGCAAGUUUGAAACUCAAAGGAAUUGACGGGGGCCCGCACAAGCGGUGGAGCAUGUGGUUUAAUUCGAUGAUACGCGAGGAACCUUACCAAGGCUUAAAUGUAGAUUGACCGGUUUGGAAAC
Molecule: ribosomal RNA, 946 nt
Filed under: uncultured bacterium
Lineage: Bacteria
Description: bacterial SSU rRNA
Rfam family: Bacterial small subunit ribosomal RNA
Source: RNAcentral